AUCUUCGGAGGAGCAGAUUCAGCACUUCUGUUCCCGCCCACGCCGUUGUACAUCACUGCUGAUUAACCGUGACCCUCGUCUGGCACAGACACCCAGUGAGGCCAUUUGUCCUGACCCCAGGUCUGCAGCCGCGUUUGCCCGACCACAGUGUGUGCUGGCACGUCGGGCUGAGCACCAUAUGUGACAGGAUGUCUGUAAUAAUGUCUGCAGAGCUCUCCUCAGCCUUCUGCGAGCACUAUUUAUGAGGCGGCCCUGUUAUUUGGACGUGUGGAGGGGAUAGUUGGCAGGAAUGAAGGCAGUUUGUCCUCUUAGCAUUUACUUAAGACGCUCCGUUGUUUUUCUGCGAUGGAAAAUUUGAACAGCCGGUCAAACCGAAAGUCUAGGGAUCGGAUCGGUCCAAAAUGGCAGCUUUGAGCAAACUUUUCCAAGUCGACUCCUCUCCUGUGGCAUUGUUAUGAAGCGAAACAGGUGUUGUUCCUCCUACAGAGUCUUCGGAGCUUUGCUUUAAACGCUUGAACCCCUCCGAGAGCUUGUGCAGUAUUUGCUUUCUGUUUCUUAAGUGGUCCUUGGCGUGUUAAACUCGACUGAUCACGCUCUCGCUCUCUGAGUGCAUCAAAGCAGAAGAAAAGUUUCUAACGUGCUCUGAUUUUCCACCGAAACGUGAGUAAUGAUGAUAUUAUCACCUGUCAGCUGCGGUAACCGCGCUGUGGCUGACUCUGAGGUUUUCACAGCUCUCUGUGCCGCUGAAUAGUUGAACUUUCACUCUUUUUAUAGAGCUGGAAACAGCUGCCACAUCAAGAGUAUAUUUUUCCUGUCAAUUUGUGAGCUGUUGGUGUUAAAAUUGGCCGACGGGGGAUUAAAAACGCAGCAGGACACGUGUUCAGAGGCAAUUGUUUUUCAGGAGUUCAUAAUGAGAAACCGGAGAUCGACUUUAACACUUUUUUAGGGUGUUACUCAUAAGGAUAGAAAGAAGAUUAGAAACUUAGUCCACUUGCAUUAUACUUCAGCAAAGGGUUAAACAUGGAUUUGCAAAAUGAUGAUCUUCACGGCUCGGUUUGGGGGUCAUUUCUUGUGCGGCGAAUCCUGUCGUCGGGCCCUCAGAAGCUGAUCAGAGAUGUUUGAAACUGAUCACGGUUUAAAAGGAGUCAGAUGAAGUUGUAGCUCUUUUAAUAUCUAAUCUACAUCUUGUCUGCCUGUUUUAAUUUUGACACCAACAACAGGUUUAAAGAAAGUUUGGACUGGGAAAUGUUCACCGCUGUGUUGCAGCAUUUAGUUUUUGAAGUGUGCGCUUCUAUUAAAGGGAUAUUCUGCGUAAAAUUAUGUUCUUGUCAAACACACCGUAACACCGAGUUAGACACCCCCGUCGAGAGAUGAAUUUUGCAGACUGCUUGCUUCUCUAGUUAUACCAACUUUAGUAACGACCGAAGGAUAGCAAUACACAGCGGUCUAUGGGUCCACGCGCCAACCUCAACCAAAACACCA
Non-coding RNA from Xyrichtys novacula (pearly razorfish), 1482 nucleotides. NCBI's taxonomy places the organism in Eukaryota, Metazoa, Chordata, Actinopteri, Labriformes, Labridae. The record is from the annotation of a GenBank genome assembly.